CUUUUAGUACAGCAGCACAGUAUAGCAGUGGCCGUGGGUGGUGGGUCUGACAUGCGAAGCUAGCAGUUUGUGUAGCUAGAUGUGUUGGAAUGAAACAGAGUGCCUAGUGGGUUGAGAGUUGUAUCCAUGGGCAAGUAUAAAUUAUGGGUAUUGGUUUGCAUUUGGGGCCCAGGCAUAGGCAGGAAUCGCAGAAGGAAUAGGUUUGUCACUUUGAAGUCUCAGAAAGUGUUGCAGACACCCAGUAGCACCCAGCACCAUUAAAAGUGAGUGACUAGGAAGUGUUUCCAGAUAGUGCAACCCACUGUCCCAUGGUAUAAUCCAGGAAAGGUUUGUUUUCUUCAGUGUGAAUGUAUAUUUUGGUAGAGUGUGCCAUUCACGUUAAGACUGAAGUGGCUUAAAUUGAGGAAACCUAGCAGGAAGGUAACAAAUGUUCUAAGCCAAUAAAUGGUAUUUAAGCGUUUGAAAUCAUGAGGGUAGGACUGUGAUGGAUUCUGUGAUAUUUCCAGCAGUCACAUUUCUGGCAGAGUUAUGCAGACUUGGUUCAUAGCAGAGCAUCCUGCUUUAGGCUGAACAUACAUUUUAUGUUACAGGGAAUAAUUUGGCAAUUUGAGUCUUGCAUUUUGUGGCUUUUAACAUCUGGGUUCUGAAUAGGUUCUGUGUCAAUAGAGUGAGACUGACUGGCUUCGUGAACUGUUUGGAAUUUCUGUGCUUGUAACAAAAAGAGAUGCUAAGGUGUGACUUCCAGCCUGCUAUUUCGGAGAAAGGAAAGGACGUGCUGGUUUAUGGGUCCCCUUAUCUUCAACACCUGUGGAAAUCACAACUGGAUUAAAAAAAAAAAGAACAGCUGUAUUCAAAUGGGAACCCAGUUGGAAGGAAGCUGAGAUGCAGGAAUUCAGUUUUAAAUAAUAGACAUAAUUGCCCUUAAGGGUUCAAAUUAAAAGUGAGGCCCUUUUUGGUUUACGUACUUGACAUAAGCAGAUGGAAAUCAUAUUGAGUGUAACUACAGAUUAAUGCAAGUCAGGAAACAUACUUUUGUAAGGAAGUGAGAGUCAGAGAGACUGCACUGUAAAAAUGCAAUGUGGUCUAACCUUGGUUGGCUAAUAAUGUACUUUAAUGGGAGUUGCUGCAGGCAGAUAAAAUUCUCUUCUGCAUGAAUUUCUGAGCAGUCAGGCUAAGAAGGGAAAGGAGGAACAUGGAACUUGAGCUCUCUUUAUGGCUUAGAACUUGAGCCCCUUUUGUCUAGAAAUAAUUAAAGGAGAAAAUCUUUUACUAGGACCAAGUCAGUUGCUUAUGAACGUAUCUAAUAAAAUUGAAAUAGUGGCAGUACUCUCUAGGCACAUUAGUUCUAUUUUGAAAGUUGGCAAAGAAGAAUUUUAAUUUAGAGAAUUCGUAUUGAAGUAGUCUAAAACUUGUGGGUACAGCUGAAGGGAUUUACAGUUUUGAGUGUUCAAGUUUUGUGCAUUUCUUCAUAUUUUUUUUAGCCUAGCUGACCGGUCUGCAUAAUGAAACAAGAUUUUUUUUUAAGGCCCUGUAAUGCAGAGGGAUUUAGAACUACAGACUGCUUCUGAAAAUGUUUUCAUUCAUCCCUAAACGUGAUGAUAUUAUUCAAACUUAAGAACCAUUCAGAGUCAAGAUAAAUGUACCUAUGCUGUCCUCCUCACAAGUGCCUUCUUAUACCAUUCUCUUUUUUUUUUAACAGAAAGCCAGCAAGCCUUCGCACAUCUUUCUAAUCUGAAACACAGCAAAAUCUGUCUCUCAUUUUUGCUGUUGAGUGUUCAAACCCCAGGAAUUGUGUUUUUUAAUCUGCUCUGUAUGUAUUCCUGCGGUUUACAUUUUUUUGCUAAUUAAAAUACUGCGUAUUUCUUUCACUCAUCUGAUGAGAAACAUUUGUAGUCCGUAUUUCCAGGAAUUUUUUAAUACUUUCUAGAAUUACAGCUGAGACACCACGUCCUUAUCAGCUUUUGUAAAUGGAGGAGGUCUGUGGGAGCAGAUGGCUAAAUUAGAAGGAAAUCAGUGAGUGAGUAGAAGCAGCUCCAUUGAUUCCAAAGCUGUAAAAUUCGCAAAGCAGCACUGUUUUUCAUCCAUAAAUGUUCUGCAGUUCAUGUUUUUUAUUUAGUUACUGCCUGUAUAAUUCUUGCUCCACAGAGUGCAGCUAAUACUUUUAUUUUACAAAAUAAACAACCUCAGAUUAAUUGGAUAAUAAAAGCUUUGCUACGCUUGCAUUUUUCUACUUUACAUGCUAUUACUGGAAGACUGAGAGAUAAGCUUUAUUUGUUUGGAGAUAUCUAGAGUGAUGGUUUCAACAAUAAGCCCUCAAAGAUCAAAUAUGCAUGUCUGCAAUUUUUUAAUGUAAAAUACGGUGACCUUUCCCCCUUCAGAUCCAGAUUAUCUAGGAUGACAUAAUUGUGGCAAUCAGGAAAUGAUAGAAGCAAUGAUGCUUUAGAAGACAUUAAUACAACAUAUACUUGCUUUUUAAUAGGUAGUCCUGCAGGUAUUUCUGCUUCUCUUUGCUGCAGCAUACUGAUAGUGAUAUGGACAGGUCAAAAUAGUAUAGAAUGCAGCUGACAGACUAGCAAGAGCUUGAAGCUUUUGCAUAUUUACUUUUCCAGUGCAGUCAAUCAAUCCCCUUAAGGAAUGGAACUGAAAUAAGAACAGUUUGGCUCUGAACUAACUAUAUAUCAUAUUGUUGCUGUCACAAGCUGUUUGCUCUUGUGACAGUCCAAAGUUUGAAUUGAAGGCCUCUGUGGAAAAUCGGCCUGAAGUCUGGAGGGUGUUGAAAUGCAGAAGUGAGGACUGGACCACAAUAUAGUCUUUUAAAAAUCCCUGUGGUAGUUUCUAAGAAGAUAGAGAAAACUAAUUCUGAUGGUCUAGCUAAGCUCAAAUUUGUUUGAUGCUUUGGGCUUCUAUAAUAUUCCAAAAUUCUAUGAUACAAGGUUUUAUUUCUACAGUCUUAAUGCAAAGAACAGAUUUAUGGUGCAGACCUAAGCAGAGGAGUUCUCAUGUUACUGUGUUGUUCUUGUAAUGGCUGUCAGCAUCUCUGGGUUUGUAAUGGUUUCUUAUUUUUCUUGAUUGCCAUUUGGAUACAUACCACUGUGACCUACUUUACAGGGUCGUAGUCAAACAGGAUUUCUAGUCUCUGUGAUUAAACCUUUGUGGUCUCUUUUUAAUAAAUUAAUUGCUCAUGCUUUCUUCUCGCUCUUCAUUUGUUUUCUGACCUGGAAAGUGAAAGCACAUUUCCACAUUUUUAUCUUCCAUUGGAAAUUGAAUAUAUUCAGCCAGUCUGAAAUCCCUGGGAAAAGAAGAUUCUGGCUAAAGGAGUUGUCAAAUGGCACAGUCUUGGCAAGAGAGAAGUUUUGUGCCAUCAGUUUGCAGUCCCCGUCCCUGAACACUACAGAAGAGCUUUGGGAAGAGUGUAUCUACAUCCAGGAGUGACUUUUCUCCUGUCUUGCCUCCCUGGUAAUUAGCUUAUCCAUACAAGGCUGAACGCUACGCUACAGGAGGAGUUCUAAACCACCUCCUGUAAUUGGUCCUGAAGUCAAAACCUACUUCACUGAACAUGAAGCUGAAGGGAAACUGAAGAAUAUAGACUAGGAUUUCAACUUAAUCUGGGGAACUGUGGAGUGUGCCGCACUUCAAAAAUCCAGAAGGAGAAUGGAAAACUAAACUUGCAUAAGCCUGAGUACAGCACACAGAUGAUUUGAGAAGGAUGCCUCAGAACGUAAUGACAUUACAUGACUGAAGGCACAGUGCUGGUAUUGUGAUAUCUGGAUUUGAUGGUGAAAGAG
This is a long non-coding RNA of Gallus gallus (chicken), 3785 nucleotides long. Lineage: Eukaryota; Metazoa; Chordata; Aves; Galliformes; Phasianidae. The record is from Ensembl.